RNAcentral lists this ribosomal RNA (253 nucleotides) under uncultured bacterium. RNAcentral's name for it is "partial 16S ribosomal RNA". It matches the Rfam family "Bacterial small subunit ribosomal RNA", at positions 524 to 776 of the family's 1533-position model. The record is from RNAcentral.
UACGGAGGGUGCAAGCGUUAAUCGGAAUUACUGGGCGUAAAGGGUGCGUAGGUGGUUUAUUAAGUUAUCUGUGAAAUCCCCAGGCUUAACCUGGGAACUGCAUUCGAGACUGCAUAGCUAGAGUAUGGGAGAGGGAAGUGGAAUUUCAGGUGUAGCGGUGAAAUGCGUAGAUAUCUGAAGGAACAUCAGUGGCGAAAGCGACUUCCUGGACCAAUACUGACGCUCAUGUGCGAAAGCGUGGGGAGCGAACAGG